Molecule: transfer RNA, 75 nt
Filed under: Micromonospora parathelypteridis
Lineage: Bacteria; Bacillati; Actinomycetota; Actinomycetes; Micromonosporales; Micromonosporaceae
Description: tRNA-Lys
Rfam family: tRNA
About the family: Transfer RNA (tRNA) molecules are approximately 80 nucleotides in length.
Source: RNAcentral
GGGCCGCUAGCUCAAUGGCGUAGAGCUGCUGACUUUUAAUCAGAGGGUUCGGGGUUCGAGUCCCCGGCGGCCCAC